AAUCCAUGAUGAGGGCAUUUCCUUAGCAUCAUCUUGACAUGCUCCCACACCUCGUAUAGGGAUUCACCUUCAAAUUGUUUAAAAUUGGUGAUUUCUCUCCUCAACU
Gossypium raimondii (Peruvian cotton) is the source of this 106-nucleotide non-coding RNA. Lineage: Eukaryota; Viridiplantae; Streptophyta; Magnoliopsida; Malvales; Malvaceae. The record is from Rfam.